This 90-nucleotide transfer RNA is filed under the name Prevotella sp. Its description in RNAcentral is "tRNA-OTHER". It matches the Rfam family "tRNA". Rfam says of the family: Transfer RNA (tRNA) molecules are approximately 80 nucleotides in length. Their secondary structure includes four short double-helical elements and three loops (D, anti-codon, and T loops). Further hydrogen bonds mediate the characteristic L-shaped molecular structure. tRNAs have two regions of fundamental functional importance: the anti-codon, which is responsible for specific mRNA codon recognition, and the 3' end, to which the tRNAs corresponding amino acid is attached (by aminoacyl-tRNA synthetases). tRNAs cope with the degeneracy of the genetic code in two manners: having more than one tRNA (with a specific anti-codon) for a particular amino acid; and 'wobble' base-pairing, i.e. permitting non-standard base-pairing at the 3rd anti-codon position. The record is from RNAcentral. Lineage: Bacteria; Pseudomonadati; Bacteroidota; Bacteroidia; Bacteroidales; Prevotellaceae.
GGGGGUAUAGUUUAACGGAAAAAUAAGGUAGCGUAUUUACGUGAAAAGGUAUUAUCCGAAUAGAUACAGGUUCGAAUCCUGUUACCUCCA